This 231-nucleotide unclassified non-coding RNA is filed under the name Hevea brasiliensis (rubber tree). Lineage: Eukaryota; Viridiplantae; Streptophyta; Magnoliopsida; Malpighiales; Euphorbiaceae. The record is from RNAcentral.
UCUUCUCCAGCUCCUCAUUUCUCAAUCUUUCCUCUUCAUUGUGUCGCCAUUUUUCGAAUUUACAUUUUUGAUCGUUCACGUGCUUUUGCUCUACUUCAAGUGCCAUUCUUCUCUCAUCCAGCACUUCCCAUUCCAUUUCGAAUUUCUCCCUUUCAAGCCUCAGAGCCUCAGUUUCCAAAACAAGUGAUUCUUUGAACUUAUUGUACUCAUCAAUCUCUUGCUUCAGUUUUG